AGAAUCAACGCUGGCGGCGUGCCUAACACAUGCAAGUCGAACGCGAAAGUCCCGAAAGGGAUUAGUAGAGUGGCAAACGGGUGAGUAACACGUGGGUGACCUGCCUUCGAGUGGGGGAUAACGUCCCGAAAGGGACGCUAAUACCGCAUGACAUCCUGCCUUUGAAGAGGUGGAGAUCAAAGCUGGGGAUCGCAAGACCUAGCGCUCAAAGAGGGGCCCGCGCCUGAUUAGCUAGUGGCGAGGUAACGCUCACCAAGGCAACGAUCAGUA
RNAcentral lists this ribosomal RNA (270 nucleotides) under uncultured bacterium. Its description in RNAcentral is "partial small subunit ribosomal RNA". It matches the Rfam family "Bacterial small subunit ribosomal RNA", at positions 26 to 285 of the family's 1533-position model. The record is from RNAcentral.